AACGUAGGAGACAAACGUUAUCCGGAGUUACUGGGCGUAAAGGGCUCGUAGGCGGCCAACUAAGUCAGACGUGAAAUCCCUCGGCUUAACCGGGGAACUGCAUCUGAUACUGGAUGGCUUGAGUUCGGGAGAGGGAUGCGGAAUUCCAGGUGUAGCGGUGAAAUGCGUAGAUAUCUGGAGGAACACCGGUGGCGAAGGCGGCAUCCUGGACCGACACUGACGCUGAGGAGCGAAAGCCAGGGGAGCAAACGGG
RNAcentral lists this ribosomal RNA (253 nucleotides) under uncultured bacterium. RNAcentral describes it as "partial 16S ribosomal RNA". It matches the Rfam family "Bacterial small subunit ribosomal RNA", at positions 524 to 776 of the family's 1533-position model. The record is from RNAcentral.